RNAcentral lists this ribosomal RNA (253 nucleotides) under uncultured bacterium. RNAcentral describes it as "partial 16S ribosomal RNA". It matches the Rfam family "Bacterial small subunit ribosomal RNA", at positions 524 to 776 of the family's 1533-position model. The record is from RNAcentral.
UACGAAGGGGGCUAGCGUUGCUCGGAAUCACUGGGCGUAAAGGGUGCGUAGGCGGGUCUUUAAGUCAGGGGUGAAAUCCUGGAGCUCAACUCCAGAACUGCCUUUGAUACUGAAGAUCUUGAGUUCGGGAGAGGUGAGUGGAACUGCGAGUGUAGAGGUGAAAUUCGUAGAUAUUCGCAAGAACACCGGUGGCGAAGGCGGUGAGCUGGGCAGUUGCUGACACUGAGGCGCGACAGCGUGGGGAGCAAACAGG